AGAGUUUGAUCCUGGCUCAGAUUGAACGCUGGCGGUAUGCUUAACACAUGCAAGUCGAACGGAAACGAAACUAGCUUGCUAGUAGGCGUCGAGUGGCGGACGGGUGAGUAACGCGUAGGAAUCUGCCUGAUAGUGGGGGAUAGCCCGAAGAAAUUCGGAUUAAUACCGCAUAAUCUAUUCGUAGUAAAGUGGGGGACUUUCGAGCCUCACGCUAUCAGAUGAGCCUGCGUAAGAUUAGCUUGUUGGUAGGGUAAAAGCCUACCAAGGCAACGAUCUUUAGCUGGUCUGAGAGGAUGAUCAGCCACAUCGGGACUGAGACACGGCCCGAACUCCUACGGGAGGCAGCAGUGGGGAAUAUUGGACAAUGGGGUCAACCCUGAUCCAGCAAUACCGCGUGUGUGAAGAAGGCCUGAGGGUUGUAAAGCACUUUCAAUUGUGAAGAAAAGUUAACGGUUAAUAACCGUUGACCUUGACGUUAACUUUAGAAGAAGCACCGGCUAACUCCGUGCCAGCAGCCGCGGUAAUACGGAGGGUGCAAGCGUUAAUCGGAAUUACUGGGCGUAAAGCGUGCGUAGGCGGUUUAUUAAGUCAGAUGUGAAAGCCCCGGGCUUAACCUGGGAACUGCAUUUGAAACUGGUCAACUAGAGUAUGGUAGAGGAAAGUGGAAUUUCUGGUGUAGCGGUGAAAUGCGUAGAUAUCAGAAGGAACAUCAAUGGCGAAGGCAGCUUUCUGGACCAAUACUGACGCUGAGGUACGAAAGCGUGGGUAGCAAACAGGAUUAGAUACCCUGGUAGUCCACGCCGUAAACGAUGAUAACUAGCCGUUGGGGGGAUUUACCCCUUAGUGGCGAAGCUAACGCGUUAAGUUAUCCGCCUGGGGAGUACGGCCGCAAGGCUAAAACUCAAAGGAAUUGACGGGGACCCGCACAAGCGGUGGAGCAUGUGGUUUAAUUCGAUGCAACGCGAAGAACCUUACCUGGUCUUGACAUCCUGCGAACUUUCUAGAAAUAGAUUGGUGCCUUCGGGAACGCAGUGACAGGUGCUGCAUGGCUGUCGUCAGCUCGUGUCGUGAGAUGUUGGGUUAAGUCCCGUAACGAGCGCAACCCUUAUCCUUAUUUGCCAGCACAUUAUGGUGGGAACUAUAAGGAGACUGCCGGUGAUAAACCGGAGGAAGGCGGGGACGACGUCAAGUCAUCAUGGCCCUUACGACCAGGGCUACACACGUGCUACAAUGGGAAGGACAAAGAGCCGCGAAGCCGCGAGGUGUAGCUAAUCUCAUAAAUCUUUUCGUAGUCCGGAUUGGAGUCUGCAACUCGACUCCAUGAAGUCGGAAUCGCUAGUAAUCGUAGAUCAGAAUGCUACGGUGAAUACGUUCCCGGGUCUUGUACACACCGCCCGUCAUACCAUGGGAGUGGGUUGCACCAGAAGUGGCUAGUCUAACUUUGUGAGGACGGUCACCACGGUGUGAUUCAUGACUGGGGUAAAGUCGUAACAAGGUAACC
Molecule: ribosomal RNA, 1501 nt
Filed under: uncultured bacterium
Lineage: Bacteria
Description: bacterial SSU rRNA
Rfam family: Bacterial small subunit ribosomal RNA
Source: RNAcentral